Molecule: ribosomal RNA, 274 nt
Filed under: uncultured bacterium
Lineage: Bacteria
Description: partial 16S ribosomal RNA
Rfam family: Bacterial small subunit ribosomal RNA
Source: RNAcentral
AUACGAAGGGUGCGAGCGUUACUCGGAGUCACUGGGCGUAAAGCGUCCGUAGGCGGUCGGGUAAGUCGGGUGUGAAAGCCCCGGGCUCAACCUGGGAAGUGCACCCGAUACUGCUCGACUCGAGUGCGGGAGAGGAUGGCGGAAUUCCCGGUGUAGCGGUGAAAUGCGUAGAGAUCGGGAGGAACACCAGUGGCGAAGGCGGCCAUCUGGCCCGCAACUGACGCUGAGGGACGAAAGCGUGGGGAGCAAACAGGAGUAGAAACCCUAGUAGUCC